GCGCGAAAACUUUACAAUGCGGGCAACCGUGAUAAGGGAACCUCGAGUGCCUGUAUAUGCAGGCUGUCCAGGUGUCUAAAACACACCUGAAGAAAGGGCCGGGCAAGACCGGUGCCAGCCGCCGCGGUAAUACCGGCGGCUCGAGUGGUGGCCGCUUUUAUUGGGCUUAAAGCGUUCGUAGCUGGGUUGUUAAGUCUCUUGGGAAAUCCGGCGGCUCAACCGUCGGGCGUCUAAGAGAUACUGGCGAUCUUGGAACCGGGAGAGGUGAGGGGUACUUCGGGGGUAGGAGUGAAAUCCUGUAAUCCUCGAGGGACCACCUGUGGCGAAGGCGCCUCACCAGAACGGCUUCGACAGUGAGGGACGAAAGCUGGGGGAGCAAACCGGAUUAGAUACCCGGGUAGUCCCAGCCGUAAACGAUGUGCGUUAGGUGUAUCGACGACCACGAGUCGUCGAGGUGCCGAAGGGAACCGUGAAACGUACCGCCUGGGAAGUACGGUCGCAAGGCUGAAACUUAAAGGAAUUGGGCGGGGGAGCGACCACAACGAGGUGGAGCCUGCGGUUUAAU
This 565-nucleotide ribosomal RNA is filed under the name uncultured Methanomicrobiales archaeon. Its description in RNAcentral is "bacterial SSU rRNA". It matches the Rfam family "Archaeal small subunit ribosomal RNA", at positions 339 to 906 of the family's 1478-position model. Lineage: Archaea; Methanobacteriati; Methanobacteriota; Methanomicrobia; Methanomicrobiales. The record is from RNAcentral.